CAACGGACUGCUGCAGGCACCGAGACGCAUUAAUAAAUGAUGCCUUCCGUUAAAGGCUCCCUCCAACUCCAGCUGUGGGUGCAGAAGCCCCGGAAGCAGGCGGAGCAGGCCAGGUGCCGGCAGAGGGCGCAUCUCCAGCCGGAAGCCAGAGAGGCUUCCACCUGGCCACGGGGAAAUUCAGGACUGCGCCUCCGUGGCAAGGUUUUAUCUCCCUCGGCUUCAGCUGAUAAACAGCGCCUAUCAGGCGCGUACAUGUGGAAGUCAGAGACAUUGAAAACACACAGGGUUCAAGUGUUUUGCACCACGCGGUGUUUACAGGAAAAGGAAAGCCUGGUGAGUCAUCCUUCUGUUUUUAAAUGGUAACUACUAAAAAUUUAUAUGUGCACAUUGCCACUCUGUGCAUUUAAAUUGACCAAACAUUAAUGUGUUCAGAGGAUGACGUGUGAACAGAAUGCUACUUACUAAGGAACUGUAAUAGAGUGAUUUCAAAAGGCCCAUGAGAAGAUGGAGAAUUAGAAAGAUAUUUUGCUUUAGCCGUUUCGUUUUUAUCCACCUGGAAGAAAGCAGGGAUCACGCAGGUCACCAUCAUCAGUAAUCAGGAAUUACAGCAAACCCAAUCCCAGUGACAGUUUGUCCAUAGACCAUGAUGUGGGCUGUAGCCUAAAAUAAGGGAGAGGAAGCAGGGCUUGAGGAGGACAGAAGACAGCCGUGAUGCUGGUAGAGAAUUUGAGCUGUAGCUUUUCCAGUGCUCUGCUACUCUCCUUCCAGUGGGGGUGCUACACAAAUUACUUUAGAGUUGUGUCAAACCACACUUUUGCAGAGUUCCUCAACUUGGCGUCAUCAGCAGACCACAUGAGCCUGCCUUCUGUGAAUUCCUUCAAGUGAUGCAAAUAUUGAACAGAAGGGGACCUACUAGUCUGUGUCAAGGAAUGUUCCUCCAGGGUGACACUGUUUCAUUAAUCAGUAUUCUUCCACAUAGUAAACAAAAUGUGAGUCCUGCUAAUUGCUACAGUACAACUCCCAUUUCUUGUGUUGUUUAUGAGACCCGGACUUGCCAACUGACUGGCUAAAUACAGACACACUUGGCUAUUUUUUUUUUUUUUUUCUGAGGUAGAAGGAUGCAGCUCUGAGGUAGAGGCUUUCAAGUUAGCUUGCCUGGGUUUGAGUCCUGGCUCAACUAUGUACUAUUAGCUAUAUGUCUUUGAGCAAGUUACCUACCUUCUCUGUGCCUUGGUUUCCUCAUCAGUAAAAUGGGGAUAACAACAGUGUGUGGGUUCCUGUGAGGAUGGAACGAGUUAGUGACAAGUGUGCAUGCCUAGAGCAGCGCUGAGGCCACAGUUGGUGCUGUCCCGGUGUUUGCGAUGGCUGUCAUUAUCACCACUGGGCCCCUUUCCCCAGAGAAAUGGUGCGCCUGUUUAUUGUUGGUAUUCAACCUGUGUUGACACGCAGUGAUCACUGUUCACUUUGAAGUGCAGAGAAAAAUAAAGAUUUAAAAAUCGGCUAUAGAAUUUUCCUG
RNAcentral lists this long non-coding RNA (1516 nucleotides) under Felis catus (domestic cat). RNAcentral's name for it is "lncRNA (ENSFCAG00000047452.1)". Lineage: Eukaryota; Metazoa; Chordata; Mammalia; Carnivora; Felidae. The record is from RNAcentral.